CCCUUAGAUGUUCUGGGCUGCACGCGCGCUACACUGAAGCGUUCAACGAGUAUUUCACCUUGCCCGGGAGGGUUGGGUAAUCUUUUUAAAACGCUUCGUGAUGGGGAUAGAUUAUUGCAAUUAUUAAUCUUCAACGAGGAAUUCCUAGUAAGCACAAGUCAGCAGCUUGUGCUGAUUACGUCCCUGCCCUUUGUACACACCGCCCGUCGCUCCUACCGAGGGGGUGAUCCGGUGAAUGAUUCGGACUCUGGUGCUUCUAGCUGCUAGAUGCGCCGGAGGAAGUUUUGUGAACCUUAUCACUUGGAGGAAGGAGAAGUCGUAACA
This 324-nucleotide ribosomal RNA is filed under the name uncultured eukaryote. RNAcentral's name for it is "partial 18S ribosomal RNA". It matches the Rfam family "Eukaryotic small subunit ribosomal RNA", at positions 1470 to 1796 of the family's 1831-position model. The record is from RNAcentral.